AUUGAACGCUGGCGGCAGGCCUAACACAUGCAAGUCGAACGGUAACAGGAAGAAGCUUGCUUCUUUGCUGACGAGUGGCGGACGGGUGAGUAAUGUCUGGGAAACUGCCUGAUGGCGGGGGAUAACUACUGGAAACGGUAGCUAAUACCGCAUAAAGUCGCAAGACCAAAAAGGGGGACCUUCGGGCCUCUUGCCAUCGGAUGUGCCCAGAUGGGAUUUGCUAGUAGGUGGGGGAACGGCACACCUCGGCGACGCUACCUAGCUGGUCUGAGAGGAUGACGCGACACACUGGAACUGAGAACCGGUCCAGACUCCAACGGGAGGCAGCAGUGGGGAAUAUUGGAAAAUGGGCGCAAGCCUGAACCAGCCAUACCGCGUGAGUGAAGAAGGACAUCUGGUUUUCAAGCCCUUUUGUUGUGAAAGAAAAGAAGCAGGUGAAUACCCCGCUGUUCUGACGGUACCCAAAGAAUAAGCACCGGCUAACUUCGUG
This 490-nucleotide ribosomal RNA is filed under the name uncultured bacterium. RNAcentral's name for it is "partial 16S ribosomal RNA". It matches the Rfam family "Bacterial small subunit ribosomal RNA", at positions 30 to 507 of the family's 1533-position model. The record is from RNAcentral.